GCUCUGGUGGUCUAGUGGUAUGAUUCUCGCUUAGGGUUCAAACACCUGAGCAUUCUUGCGAGAGGUCCCGCGUUCAAUCCACGGCCAGAGCC
This 92-nucleotide transfer RNA is filed under the name Pyricularia oryzae. Its description in RNAcentral is "tRNA-Pro". Lineage: Eukaryota; Fungi; Ascomycota; Sordariomycetes; Magnaporthales; Pyriculariaceae. The record is from RNAcentral.